GACUGGGAGCACCUGAGCUUGGUGUGCAGGGUGCAUGCGAGUGGCUGAACUGAGGUGGGACUGUGAGAGGGAAAGCAGUCAGGGUGCUUGUAGACAGAAAAGAGAGAGAGCGACGGAGAGACUGAGUGGCUGGUUAACUGUGUGGACCGUGGAGGUUCCUGGUACUGGGCCCAGUCGCCGGGAGAGAUCUGUCUGGCACCGGAGCAGGAAGAGCUGGCUCCCCGGGCUCUUCCCUCCGGGUGUGUUUUUCAUGCAAAGUAGCAGCCCUCUGUUCUGUUUGAACAUCAGCUAAAGAGAGAGAGAGCUGCAAGUGCUAAUGAUGGUCCCAAUAUACAUUUUUCACUCAUGGCAAAGUCUCCUCAGCACCACAACGUUCCUGUCAAAGUGUGUUAGUGGGCCAGUCUUGGGCAUGCCUUGGCCACGAAAUGCUGCAGCUGUAUGUAGGCAAGCCCCCAGAAGACUUGGAUCCAAACCCAAAGAGCAUUUCAGAGGGUGAGGAAAUGAAGACAGGGGACCAUUGCUGACCCAUGGAGGAAGGAGCAGUCUAGUCUUCAGUAUCAGCAACAGGUUCAGUCACUGCCAAACUGGCAAUGGCUUUCGGCUGUGCAGUCAAGAGCCAUUGCCCAUCAGGCAGCAGCUGUGAGACGGUUAAACUGGUAGCUUUUGCCUGAGCAAAAGGAGAGUGAGCAAGCUGAUGAUUAGGCUCUGUCCAUGCUUCGUGGAGCCAUCAUUCUGAGGAAAACCUCCAGCCUCGAUCAACCAAGUCUGCUGGGACAUCUUCAUUAGCACGCUCCAGCUGCCUCAGCGUCUCGUGUAUUCAGC
Molecule: long non-coding RNA, 822 nt
Organism: Alligator sinensis (Chinese alligator)
Lineage: Eukaryota; Metazoa; Chordata; Crocodylia; Alligatoridae
Exons: 4
Source: RefSeq, a predicted model, not a curated record